AUUGAACGCUGGCGGCAGGCCUAACACAUGCAAGUCGAACGAGUGGCGGACGGGUGAGUAAUGUCGGGGAAACUGCCUGAUGGAGGGGGAUAACUACUGGAAACGGUAGCUAAUACCGCAUACCAUCAGAUGUGCCCAGAUGGGAUUAGCGAGGUGGGGGGGUAACGGCUCCCCAAGGCGACGAUCCAUAGCUGGUCUGAGAGGAUGACCAGCCACACUGGAACUGAGACACGGUCCAGACUCCUAGGGGAGGCAGCAGUGGGGAAUAUUGCACAAUGGGCGCAAGCCUGAUGCAGCCAUGCCGCGUGUAUGAAGAAGGCCUUCGGGUUGUAAAGGACUUUCAGCGGGGAGGCGUUACCCGCAGAAGAAGCACCGGCUAACUCCGUGCCAGCAGCCGCGGUAAUUC
This 406-nucleotide ribosomal RNA is filed under the name uncultured bacterium. RNAcentral describes it as "partial 16S ribosomal RNA". It matches the Rfam family "Bacterial small subunit ribosomal RNA", at positions 29 to 526 of the family's 1533-position model. The record is from RNAcentral.